CCUUCUAUUUUCUGUUUUUCUUUUUAUUGUAUCACCGCUCUUCUAUCGUUCGAUUUCUUGUCCCAUUUUACCCCUGUUUUUCUUUCCACAAACUUCUUUCUGUUCUCUUUCUUCUCUUCUCCAUUCUGUUCACAAUUCUGAUCAUAUACUUGUUCCUCUUCACUACAAUCCGCGUAUUAACUGACAUACACUCAGUUUUGCAUUUCGACGUAUAUACUCAGGUACAACCGCACGUGCUAUCAUCCUUCCUCUACGUUUCUUAAACUGGCACACGCGCACUUUAUUCAUUUAUUUAUUUCGCCGUUUUCUCGCGUUGCCUACAAAUUGUGUAGUCAGUCACAACUGUAUUGACAGUUCAUUCAUUCCCAUACAUACAUACAUAAGUAUAACACCGUACAUAUAUGUACAUACAUAUUUAUACACACAUUCUUAUGGACAAUUAUAAACAACAAAUGCUCAUGUAAUAUCAUCACUCGCAUAAGUACCUAAUACACGUAAAGUACUUACUACACACAAUCCAACGUACGGCUUGUAUAUUUGCCUCUCAUUCCGUCAUUAACAACACGCCCACUUUCAUUCUCUUCAACCAAACACACAUGCUUCCUUUAUUUUCGAUUUGGAUCUGUAGUCUUCACAUAUUGACUUUCUUCAUCUUCCUUUUCCCGUUCGCUCACUUCUAACCUUACUUUCUCUUCCCUUCUUCCUAUCCACUUUACUCACCUAGUAUUUUCCAUGCUGUUUAGACACAGCUUUUUGUCUUUCGUAACCGGCAACUACCUAGGAGAGAUACUUACCUUUACAACCAUGUAAGUAGAUACAACUGUCUGGUUUCGUAUUAUUCACCCAACCCACUCUUUACUACUAAACUAGUUCUAUAAAACAACAUAAGAGAUUUCGUUACGUCAGUUUACCGUAUCAAACUACAAUCCUACAGAUAUUGUCACUUCCUUAGACAUCAUCUCUUCUGUUUAUUUGAAUUUAUCAAACGCAGGAUUCACUUGUUGAAGAAAGGGUUAAUUCCAAGUUCCUCCACAGAUACAUUUUGUUCGACAUAUUUCUGGUUGAGUUGUAACUAUAUUUGCAACAAACCUGUUAUAUCAUGUUUACUUUGCAUUUUAUUUACCCUAUUCUUCAUUAGACUUCUUUUCCUAUGUGAUGUUAUCAAAGAUGUUUUAAUUGUUUAGUUGGAAGGUAGAUUAUUCUACCGUAGUUUAACAAAUUCUUUGUAUAUGAUUAAAAGGAAAUAUAAGUUGCAGGAGAUCUUUAAAUGUUUCUGCCUUCUAAGCUGGUGAUGGCUACUCUUACUGUUAAUGACAGAUGUGUACCGGAAAACAGGAGUAAUAUGAACAUGUCAUGGUAGUUGAUGUGAUUGAGGGGAGAUGUGACAAGUGAGUGAGCUAUGACGAUGUAAGGGAAGAGAUAUAUGGAUGGCGAAAUGAGAUAAUAACACACAUGCACGCGCACAUGCAUAUGAGAAAGAAAGAAAUGACAACAGAAUUGUGCCAUGUCAAAAGGAGUUUAGUUCUCGGAAAUCCUUUUGUGCUUUACUUUCACUGCCUUUUAUUAAUUUAUAUAUAUAUACACAAACAUUGAUGGAUACAGGCACAUGUAUUUCAGGGAUGAGUAUUACAGAUUUAUUUGUAAAUAAAUUACAGACUUGCCUGCAUUUGUACCCACAAACAUACAUUGCAAAUUAAGAUUAUUUUGAAAAUUAUACUAAUUGUGUGUGGGGGGGGGUGUGAGUAAUAUUAAAGCAGUCUUCUUUUCCAAUGAUAUUUUCAUUAUAACCAUCAGUGUUUGCUCAUAUUCUCUCCUCUCUUUCUUUCUCUCUCUAUCUUUCUAUCUCAUACACACAUGUAUGUAUAUACACCUAGAGAGAGAAAGUGAGAGAGAGAGAGAAAGAUACAUAAAUACUUUGUUCCCACAACAGUUUUUACCCUGAGCUUAUGCAGUAGUUCUGCAAUGUUUGAUAGAUGCAGUGUGUUUCAGAAUCUGACCGAUCAGUUUAUUGGUUCACCUUUCCUCAUGUAUAAUUGAUUAUUUCACUUCUGAAUGUGUACAUGGUAGUUGAAGACUGUUUAGUAUAACAUGAUGUUUUUUAAAGCUUAACACUCAGAUUAGGUACUUGACGCUUGCCUUAGUAGUGACAUUUAUUGUAGUUACAUGUAUUUCUAUCUUGCAUAUAUUCAAAGGAGGGACAGUGCAAUUUUCUUUUUUUCUACAUUUUUCUUGAAAAAGUAUAUAGGAAAAGAGAAGCUUAUAUUGAAUUUUUACAUAUACUAUUCCUGAAUAUUGUGUUUCGUUACUUGAAGAAGUUGAACUUUUUUCUCUGUUGACUAAACAGCAGAGUGCAGCCAGAAAGACAGAGAAAUACUUGAUGCAUAAAGAUCACUCAAUAUAAUAUAGAGAGACUGCACUCUCAACAUAAGUAUUAAACUGAAACUUCCUAAAGUCCUAGUCUGGCCAUUAGCACUGUAUGAAUGUAAAGCAUGGGCCCUCAGAGUGACUAACACUAGAAUGAAUAAGCAUACUUGCAAUGACGUGCUGUAAGCAAAUACUAUGGAUCAGUUGGAUGGUUCGUUGAAUGAAUGAUUUAAUCUUAGAGAAAAUGGGAAUGCAGGGACAGUUGGUAUCAUAGUCAAGUGUCAAAAAUUGCAAUAUUUUGGUCACAUAAUCAGGCCCAUAACUUCUGUGCCUUAGGAGAUGGGUGGAUGAAAACUGGACUUGUAAGAAACUCAAAUGAAAAGAGAGCAAUGGUAUGUACAGCUUCAAUGUGAUGAAGAGUGGUGGUCCAUAUCUAAGGCCCCUAAACCUCGGCCAUGAGAAGAGGAAUAUUCUAUACUAUAUGAUGCAUAUUUCACAGCUUCAUUCCCUUUUUAAUUUUUUUUUAUUUUUUAUAUAUCAUUAUCUUUGAUAUUCUUAUGCUAUAUUUCAUAUGCUUACUGUUGAUUCUUUCCUAUUUUUGUUUUUUCCUGUUAAUAUUGCUUCUGUAUCAUCUUCAGAUGUUGUGAUUAGAUUAUUCUUCUUGCUAUGGUUGUAUCAAGUGAUAGGUUUCAUAUUUCACCUAAAUUACAGACCCACCUCAUUGUAACCAGCAAUCGAUAACCUGAUUGUUGUUAUAUUCAUUCAAAUUAUGUAAGAUUCUGUCUCCUUGUGUAACACACCAUAUGCAGAAACAUACUGUAUGUGUGUGUUAAAUCAACACUUUUUUCAAGGUUCUUAUUCAAAUCUGAAAACAGAUGUCUUAAGAUGUUACCUAUCUACCACCUGCAAAAAUAAAAAAAAAAAAAACAAAGA
This 3297-nucleotide long non-coding RNA is filed under the name Octopus vulgaris (common octopus). Lineage: Eukaryota; Metazoa; Mollusca; Cephalopoda; Octopoda; Octopodidae. The record is from RNAcentral.